UGAGCAUCAGUGUUGAGCAAUCCUAAUUCGUUAUCCUUGCACUUUGAUUGUUAGUGAAGAAACUUUUGGGGAAUUAUUACUGAGAUGCUC
This 90-nucleotide small nucleolar RNA is filed under the name Cicer arietinum (chickpea). RNAcentral's name for it is "Small nucleolar RNA snoR26". It matches the Rfam family "Small nucleolar RNA snoR26". The record is from Rfam by way of RNAcentral. Lineage: Eukaryota; Viridiplantae; Streptophyta; Magnoliopsida; Fabales; Fabaceae.